Molecule: microRNA precursor, 60 nt
Filed under: Heligmosomoides polygyrus
Lineage: Eukaryota; Metazoa; Nematoda; Chromadorea; Rhabditida; Heligmosomidae
Description: microRNA hpo-mir-10038 precursor
Source: miRBase by way of RNAcentral
UCCGUGUGGAGGGACAGAGCACUCAGGGCGGAAGCCAGAGCGUGGCGCUCCACAUGGACA